Molecule: long non-coding RNA, 613 nt
Organism: Diuraphis noxia (Russian wheat aphid)
Lineage: Eukaryota; Metazoa; Arthropoda; Insecta; Hemiptera; Aphididae
Source: RefSeq, a predicted model, not a curated record
CGGCCGUUGUUGUUUUAAAUUUCGUGUGCUCUCACAACGUGCUUUUGUCUGAUCCGAUAUUCUUGUACGAUACUCGAUCCGUUGAUCUACGCCGUCUGAUUGAAUGAUCUGACAAGCAUUUAYGUGMUCGACGCAUUGCUAUUCGAUGCGGCUGAACGAGGACCUAUAGAUCGGUCCAACGCUAGUUUCAAGACAACCUGUAGCUGUAUAAUAUAGUGGUGUUCCUAUAGUGAAGUUUACUGACUGCGUGUCUGUACAAGAGUUGCAUCCGUCGUGUAACCUAACCUUACUGCUUCUGCUCGUCAGAAGAUAAGAAUAUUUACAACUGGUUAGUUGUCUCUCCAUCAUGGCCUUUUGAUGCAUCAAUAAACUAGAAGUACCUAAUUAAAAUAUCUCAAUCAUUGGAUAAGUAAUCUCAGUGUUUAACAACAAAAUUAAUCGAAAUUCAAAUGCAAGAUAGUUGUUGAAGAAAGAAUCUGUUCAUUAAAAAAAUAAACAAUACUGUUUAUAAUUAGCAGAAUGAGGUUCUUGAUAUCUAUACAUUUGUUGAUUCAUAUGUCGGUAUUCUUACAAUCAUAUUGUAGAGGAUUGAAACAGCAUUGUAAUGCUUCAG